UUUGUGCGGGGGCUGCGGAGCCAUGCUAUCGGAGUCCGAUUUAGCCAUGCUAGUCGCACGAGUUCAUACUCCGUGGCAUAUAGCUUCAGUAACACGUGGCCAAACUACCCUAUGGACAACAAUAACCUCGGGAAACUGAGGCUAAUAGUUGAUACUGCUCUCACGCUGGAACAGCAGGGAGCGGGAAACGCCCCGGCGCCAUAGGAUGUGGCUGCGGCCGAUUAGGUAGACGGUGGGGUAACGGCCCACCGUGCCUAUAAUCGGUACGGGUCAUGAGAGUGAGAGCCCGGAGACGGUAUCUGAGACAAGAUACCGGGCCCUACGGGGCGCAGCAGGCGCGAAACCUUUACACUGCACGCCAGUGCGAUAGGGGGACUCCGAGUGCGAGGGCAUACAGUCCUCGCUUUUCUGUACCGUAAGGUGGUACAGGAAUAAGUGCUGGGCAAGACCGGUGCCAGCCGCCGCGGUAAUACCGGCAGCACGAGUGAUGGCCGAUAUUAUUGGGCCUAAAGCGUCCGUAGCCGGCCAGACAAGUCCGUUGGGAAAUCGACGUGCCUAACACGUCGGCGUCCAGCGGAAACUGUCUGGCUUGGGGCCGGAAGACUCGAGGGGUACGUCCGGGGGUAGGGAGUGAAAUCCCGUAAUCCUGGACGGACCGCCGAUGGCGAAAGCACCUCGAGAGGACGGACCCGACGGGUGAGGGGACGAAAGCUAGGGGUCUCGAACCGGAUUAGAUACCCGGGGUAGUCCCUAGCCGUAAACGAUGCUCGUUUAGGGUGUGGCACCCACUACCGAGUGGGGUGCUGUGCCCGUAGGGAAAGCCGCCUAAACGAGCCGCCCUGGGGAAGUACGUCCGCCAGGGAUGAAACUUUAAAGAAAUUGGCGGGGGGAGCACCUACAACCCGGAGGAACCUGCGGUUUAAUUAUUAUUUUC
This 934-nucleotide ribosomal RNA is filed under the name uncultured archaeon. Its description in RNAcentral is "bacterial SSU rRNA". It matches the Rfam family "Archaeal small subunit ribosomal RNA", at positions 1 to 916 of the family's 1478-position model. The record is from RNAcentral.